This 75-nucleotide transfer RNA is filed under the name Candidatus Omnitrophica bacterium ADurb.Bin292. RNAcentral's name for it is "tRNA-Gln". It matches the Rfam family "tRNA". Rfam says of the family: Transfer RNA (tRNA) molecules are approximately 80 nucleotides in length. Their secondary structure includes four short double-helical elements and three loops (D, anti-codon, and T loops). Further hydrogen bonds mediate the characteristic L-shaped molecular structure. tRNAs have two regions of fundamental functional importance: the anti-codon, which is responsible for specific mRNA codon recognition, and the 3' end, to which the tRNAs corresponding amino acid is attached (by aminoacyl-tRNA synthetases). tRNAs cope with the degeneracy of the genetic code in two manners: having more than one tRNA (with a specific anti-codon) for a particular amino acid; and 'wobble' base-pairing, i.e. permitting non-standard base-pairing at the 3rd anti-codon position. Lineage: Bacteria; Pseudomonadati; Candidatus Omnitrophota. The record is from RNAcentral.
UUGCCCCGUGGUGAAAUUGGAUAUCACACUGCCCUUUGGAGGCAAGGUUUCUGGUUCAAGCCCAGACGGGGCAGU